CGACCGCGCACGGGUGAGUAACACGUAUGCAAUCCACCUGUAACAGGGGGAUAACCCGGAGAAAUCCGGACUAAUACCCCAUAAUAUGGGCGCUCCGCAUGGAGAGUUCAUUAAAGAGGGCAAUUUUGGUUACAGACGAGCAUGCGCUCCAUUAGCCAGUUGGCGGGGUAACGGCCCACCAAGGCGACGAUGGAUAGGGGUUCUGAGAGGAAGGUCCCCCACAUUGGAACUGAGACACGGUCCAA
RNAcentral lists this ribosomal RNA (245 nucleotides) under uncultured bacterium. RNAcentral's name for it is "partial 16S ribosomal RNA". It matches the Rfam family "Bacterial small subunit ribosomal RNA", at positions 93 to 334 of the family's 1533-position model. The record is from RNAcentral.